UGCACCUGCGGAUACAACCAAACACGGUUGGAGAAUAUUUCACAAUCUGUGGUUGAUUGGAUCCGUGGGUGUA
Bos grunniens (domestic yak) is the source of this 73-nucleotide microRNA precursor. The record is from Ensembl. NCBI's taxonomy places the organism in Eukaryota, Metazoa, Chordata, Mammalia, Artiodactyla, Bovidae.